Molecule: long non-coding RNA, 524 nt
Organism: Oncorhynchus tshawytscha (Chinook salmon)
Lineage: Eukaryota; Metazoa; Chordata; Actinopteri; Salmoniformes; Salmonidae
Exons: 4
Source: RefSeq, a predicted model, not a curated record
CUCCUCCUUUCUAAGCAGGCAGAUAUCUGGACAGCACAUCGUCCGGGUCCUCGUCACGCUCCCAGAGUCCUUUGCUUUUGAGUCCUGCUGGCUCUCAGAGCACCUACAACAACCCUCUACUGCGCUCCCUCAGUCACCCAGGAGAGGGUGUGAUCCAGCUGAUCUCUGUAGCCCGCUCCUCUAGUCUGGGCAUCACCAUCGGCGGAGGCUCCAAUAGACCGGACGGCCCUGCGGUCUUCAUCCAGGAGGUUCUGUCUGGGGGAGACUGCCACAGGGAUGGGCGCCUGAGGCCAGGGGAUCAGCUCAUUGCCAUCAACAAGGAGUCCUUGAUAGGAGUGACCCACGAGGAGGCUAAGAGCAUGGUCAACAAGGUCAAAUUCAGUCAAGAGGCGGUGGUGGAGGUUGCUUUCAUCCCUGGUAAAGGUCCGUUCCCCAACAGCACGUCUUUACACAAUGGUGUCCAGCGUGGCGUUGGCAACGGGUACAGCUCCGGGCGCUUAAAAGUCCACGUCAGAUCACCAGAG